CAGCAGCCGCGGUAAUACGUAGGUGGCAGGCGUUGUCCGGAAUUAUUGGGCGUAAAGGGCUCGCAGGCGGUUUCUUAAGUCUGAUGUGAAAGCCCCCGGCUCAACCGGGGAGGGUCAUUGGAAACUGGGAAACUUGAGUGCAGAAGAGGAGAGUGGAAUUCCACGUGUAGCGGUGAAAUGCGUAGAGAUGUGGAGGAACACCAGUGGCGAAGGCGACUCUCUGGUCUGUAACUGACGCUGAGGAGCGAAAGCGUGGGGAGCGAACAGGAUUAGAGACCCCAGUAGUCCCUGUCUCUUAUAU
This 301-nucleotide ribosomal RNA is filed under the name uncultured bacterium. RNAcentral's name for it is "partial 16S ribosomal RNA". It matches the Rfam family "Bacterial small subunit ribosomal RNA", at positions 509 to 809 of the family's 1533-position model. The record is from RNAcentral.